GUGUGUGUGUGUGUGUGUGUGUGUGUGUGUGUGUGUGGUAUAUUUUUGACAAAGGCCUUGUUGGCCAGUAGAUUAUUUGUGACAGUUUUUCCGUUGUGCCUAUCUGCAGCUCACCACCUCUGCUAUAUGGCUGUAAAUUGAAAGUAAUAGCAUAUGCAGAAGAGCAUGGAAACAGCAGCUGAGUGACAUUUUGGCCCUCCAUCUACAGGUAAAAAACCAUUCGCAAAUGGCAGGCUAGUAAAGAAGAACUGAAAAAAAAAGAGAAAGACUAAAUGUGCAAAUAGAGGAUAGAAUGGAAACUAGCCAAAACCAGAAGGUGACAAUUUUCAGGGAUUUUAAAGGUUUAUAAUCAGUCGCGGGAAGAAAGUAGAGGUGGCGGACGAAUGGCACCGACAAGUACCUGUCGCACAAUCCAUAGAUGUUUUAGUGAGUGUGUAAGGAAGAACCACGGAGUUUAUAUGCAGCUUUGUGCUUUUUGUGUCAUUGACUAUUGUUAUUAAAACGAGUACAGUUGAAAAAGAACUCUUAAGAACUCUUGACGUAAGCUCGCUAUUAGCAAGACUUAUUUUUUGAUUCAUGUUAAGAAAAGUUAUGGUAUCUAAGCCAACUUUCUUUUAAUUGUAACUCAAUUUGUUUCUGACGUUCGGCUAUAUGAGAGACUUACAGGAAGUUACAUAUUUAUGUGGAAAGUGGGAGUUUUAUUGUGU
Schistocerca nitens (vagrant locust) is the source of this 707-nucleotide long non-coding RNA. RefSeq lists it as uncharacterized. The transcript is spliced from 3 exons. The record is from RefSeq and is a predicted model, not a curated record. NCBI's taxonomy places the organism in Eukaryota, Metazoa, Arthropoda, Insecta, Orthoptera, Acrididae.